UUGGAGGGCAAGUCUGGUGCCAGCAGCUGCGGUAAUUCCAGCUCCAAUAGCGUAUAUUAAAGUUGUGCAGUUAAAAAGCUCAUAGUUGAAUUUCGGGAUCAAUAUGUUGGUUGUGCCUUGGUACGUACUAGUUUAUUGGUUUCUUCCUUCUGACGAACCAUGAUGUCAUUAAUUUGGUGUCAUGGGGAAUCAGGACUGUUACUUUGAAAAAAUUAGAGUGUUUAAAGCGGGUUUCACGCUUGAAUACAUUAGCAUGGAAUAAUGAAAUAAGACAUUUGAUUCUAUUUUGUUGGUUUCUAGGAUCGAUGUAAUGAUUAAUAGGGAUAGUUGGGGGCAUUAGUAUUCAAUUGUCAGAGGUGAAAUUCUUGGAUUUAUUGAAGACUAACUACUGCGAAAGCAUUUGCCAAGGAUGUUUUCAUUAAUCAAGAACAAAAGUUAGAGGAUCGAAGACGAUCAGAUACCAUCGUAGUCUUAACCAUAAACUAUGCUGACUAGGGAUUGGAUGAUGUUAAUUUUUUAAUGACUCAUUCGGCGCCUUACGGGAAAC
This 547-nucleotide ribosomal RNA is filed under the name uncultured Glomus. RNAcentral describes it as "SSU rRNA". It matches the Rfam family "Eukaryotic small subunit ribosomal RNA", at positions 548 to 1098 of the family's 1831-position model. Lineage: Eukaryota; Fungi; Glomeromycota; Glomeromycetes; Glomerales; Glomeraceae. The record is from RNAcentral.